AUGGAGAUCCUGAGCCCGUCGCCGCCGCCCAGCCCGGCCAGGAACCAGUUCGUAUACGGCGGCGCCGGCGCGCUCCUGCGCCGCGACCAGGCCGGCGCCGGCGCGCUGCUCCACGUCGCCGUCGGGAGGUCGCCGGAGAAGACGCUGCCGCUGCUGCGCUGGGCGUUCCGACGGUUCGGCUGCGCGCGCGUCGCCCUCGUCCACGUCCACCAGCCCUCCCCGGUCAUCCCCACCCUCCUGGGAAAGAUUCCGGCGGCUCAGGCGACGGAGGAGCUGGUCCUGUCGCACCGCAGGUCCGAGAGGGACGAGAGGAACAGGAUCCUCCUCGCCUACCUCGCCUUCUGUCAAAGGGCGCAGGUGCAGGCAACUGUUCUUGUAACAGAGAACGAACAGAUCAACGACGGCAUCGUCGCUUUGGUCAGGGAUCAUGGGGUCACAAAGCUUGUCAUGGGUUCUAUACCGGACAAUUGCUUCAAGUUAAAGGCAGGCCACAACAAGGAAUAUUUUAUGGCAAAGAAUGCUCCAGCAUUUUGUGAAAUUUGGUUUGUAUGGAGAGGAAGACACAUCUGGACCAGAGAAGCAAGCGCAGCGAUUGGCAACAGCAUCUCAAUCUACAACCAUGAUGAUAUUAUGAUGACCAGGAAGAGGACUAGGUUCAGCCCAAAUAGCAACAGCGCUGAACCCGUGCUUGCAGAAGGCACUGUAUCAGAUUAUGGAGCUUUUGGAGCUGAUGCCAACCAUUUCUACAAUAUGAGACUAUCAAAUUUACAGGAUGCAGAAUCUGCAUUCAACUCAACCCUCUGGCCUGAUUCCUCCGUACAUGGGGGAGCAUUGCAGUUACAUUCUAAGGAAAUGUUGGAUGCAAAUCUCAAGCAAGUCAUGGUUGAAGCUGAGGGAUCAAGGAAGGAAGCUUUUCUUGAGCUUCGCAAGCGCAAAGAAAUAGAGUCAAAAGUGGCCGGUGCUUUUGUCAGGGUAAAAGCUUCUGAGUCUUCUAAAAAACGAGAAAUGAAAAUAAGGGAGGAACUUGAAGGUUUAUUCGUAGCCACGAGAAAGCAGCAUGAAGAUCUGGCAAGAAGUAAAGAAAAAGCUACGGCUGUGUUGGACUCUUCUAUGAGAAGAUUAGACAUCCUAGAUGCUCGUGCUAAAAACAUGAGCCUUCGGAUGGAUGAGGCUGUGGCGGAGCUCGAGGUGAUUCAAUCUUCCAUAAAUAUUCUCAAGCAGGAAAGAACAAAGGCUCAUAAGAAUGAAGAUAGACAUACGAACCAUGUCAAAGAAGGGUGCACAUACAGCCAUUCCAAGUUGCCAAACUGCAGUUCAAUUGCUCUUGGUGAUGAUCCAUACACCUUUAGACAAUUGACACUGUUAGAUGUGCAAGCUGCAACAUGUAAAUUCUCAGAGAGCUUCAAAUUACGUCCAAGAGGUCAUGGGUGCAUUUACAAAGGAAAAAUUAUGAACAGGAGUGUGAUGAUUCAUAGGUUGCACUCAGAUAGCAUUAAGAGCUCGAUGCAAUUCCAGCGGAAGGUGUACAUCCUAAACAAAGUGAGGCACCCUCAUCUAGUGACAUUGGUUGGGGUAUGCCCAGAGGCACUCUGUCUUGCCUAUGAGUAUCCGAAAAAUGGGAGCCUUCAUGACCAUCUCUUCGGCGAACUCAACAGUGCCCCGCCGUUGCCAUGGAAAAUCCGUGCACGCAUUGUGGCGGAGAUCUCGAGUGCUCUGCUGUUCCUGCAUUCAUGUAAACCACAGAUGAUGGUUCAUGGUGGCCUGAAUCUCGAGAACAUCCUUCUAGAUUCCGACUCCCACUGCAAGAUAGCCGAUUUUGGUACAUUGACAGCGGAAGACUCGAAGGAUCACCCAGCAUUGGAUUCUGGACUGCUGGCACACAAGUCUGAUAUCAACUCCUUCGGUACCGUGAUACUGCAGCUACUAACUGGUAAACAGCCUGGUAGUCCAGGCCUUGCCAGCGAAGUAAGGCGCGCUCUGUCCUGUGGAAAGCUGUCGUCGAUCUUGGAUCCAACGGCCGGGGAGUGGCCAAUGGAGGCGGCCCGGCGGCUAGCGGAGUUUGGGCUCGAGUGCAGCGGAGACAGACCGGAGCUGACUCCGGACACGGUACGAGAACUGGAGCAGCUGCAUCUGAUCAGGGGGCGGCCAGUACCGUCCUUCUUCCUGUGCCCGAUUCUCAAGGAAAUCAUGGAUGAUCCUCAGGUGGCCGUGGACGGGGUGACGUACGAGGGACGCGCCAUCCGCGAGUGGAUCGAGGAUGGCCGGGCCGUGGCCGACCUGAAGCUGAAGCACCUCGGCCUCACCCCCAACCACGCCCUCCGGUUCGCCAUUCAGGACUGGCUCUCUCAGCCUCAGUGGUGA
Molecule: ribosomal RNA, 2361 nt
Filed under: Triticum aestivum (bread wheat)
Lineage: Eukaryota; Viridiplantae; Streptophyta; Magnoliopsida; Poales; Poaceae
Description: partial small subunit ribosomal RNA
Source: RNAcentral